UAUCAGAGGAGGCUGGAUACAAAAUUUGGUUUCUCUAGAUCUUAUAGUAUCUACAAUCUAAGAGCUCAUCGGAACUGACAGACGGACAAACACACAAUAAUAGAUACACUUUAUAGGGUCGGAAUUGCUUUCCCCUAUACUCACUUUAAGUAUCGUCUAUAAUAAUUGCACUCUCACAUAUAUUACAUUUUUUAAUGUCUUCUUUUGCCUCAACAUACAAUAUUUCUGUAGAUUCUUAUAUAAUCGGAAACUGUUACGGAAAUAACAUUAACAAGUCUACUACGAGCGUAUUUGAAACGAUUUGCCAUCAAAUUUGCAUCACAUCGUAAAAUUUUAUAUUGACAAACAAUUUCCAUAGCUAAUAUAUAAUUGCAGUUUUGUGGCAAACAACUGGAAAA
Molecule: long non-coding RNA, 398 nt
Organism: Drosophila pseudoobscura
Lineage: Eukaryota; Metazoa; Arthropoda; Insecta; Diptera; Drosophilidae
Exons: 2
Source: RefSeq, a predicted model, not a curated record